AUUGUUACUUCAAGAGCCUUCUGUCUCAACUUGUUGAAGGGCCAACGAGUAAGAAGAGGCUCGGUACAUAUGUACAAACCAUCCCACAUCAGAUCUUGUAUUAGGGGAUGGGGGUAGUAGAGAUCCUCCUGCAAUAAACAAUUUUGAAUGAGUGUUUCAUGCAUGUACGUUAUAUUCACAGGAAAUACGAAAGCUUUUCUGUUAGAAAGCUAAACUCACCUUUGCGCAAAGAUGUCGUACUUUCCUCCAAUUGAUUUCAUUAUAAGGUUGAAGGAAGAGCUCUUCUCUCAGUUCUAGAACAAGAGGUGUGAUUGGGCCAACGAAUCGUUUACCAUAUAAGUAUGACAUGGGCAUGUAAACCAUCCGACAGUAGCACCACAUUUUUGCUGCAUUUAUGCACUUAAAUUAUAAGAGGCUAGACCAAAGAUAGGAAAAUGAAAGCUAGACCAAAGUAGACAUGGGAAUAUGCAUUUCUAAAGACCAAUAAGCCAACCCCAGGUUGAAUUUUUAAGUAUUCACGCGUAGCAUUGCAUAAGGCUUAAGUUACACAGCUUUUGGCUUAAGCAUUUUGAGUCAGUGUGACCAAUUCCAAGUUUUAUGCAAGAAGACCUUAGUAUGAAAAAUACAUUACGUGCAGAAGUAGAUCUGAAAUUCAAGCACUUGAGUAGAUGACUACAGCACAAACCUGGAUGCAUGGGAAGACGAGAAGGGAAGAGCCAAAACUCUGGGGGCAUUGGGUUGCUUCCUGACCAGUCAAACAAGCCAAAAAUCUACACGGAAGAAACAAUAUCAUAUAAGAUUCAGUCCAUGACACAAGAAUGCAUUGUAUAGGAUGAAUGUGAACUUUUGUUUCAAGUGGCCAUACUGAAAGCCAAGUCUUUCCCCAAGAGGGAAUGGAUGUCACUCCACCACGAUCGAGGAUCCAUUUACGCCCUCUUGCACAAGCAUUUUCUCUACCACCAUCGGGCCCUUCUCCAAGGAUACGCAUACAAAUGUAGCUGAGUGUUGUACAAAACAUGGUGCUGUGUCCCUCAAUAUGGAAUCCCCACCCACCAUCUUCAUUCUGCAAUGUACAUAAGCCAUUUUCAUACUUCGAAGCUCCAAACCCAUUUAUGAGGUUAGGAGGAUGACUAGGUUCAAAAUAUAUAUACCUGAUGACAGUAUAGGUAGCGAAGAAUUUCUUUACGAUAUUCUCCAGGGAAUACAGUGUCAAGAUGCCCUGUAAUGUAUAGACACAUGACCUACAUUUUCCAUGAAAUUAUGCCAUUGAGAAUGGCUGUUAAAAUGGUCUAUAUACAUGAUUUUAAGGAGGGUGAGAGGGUGUUGAGUAGACUCACCAGGGGAGGAAGGAAAUACAAUGGGCCAGCAUUUUCAGCAGGCCAAUGGCCAUCGCUAGCCUGCAAGGCUGAAAAGAAAUGCGCACCCCUUCUCACUGCUGCUGUGGCUGUCUCAUAUGUAAUUUCUUCACCAUCCCCAACCUUCACUUGUGGUAUUGUUUGUUUGAAAUUCUUCUCUCUCAAAAACUGCAGGUUUUUUUUAGCCAAAUGAAACGGGAGUUGGUAAAGAACAAGUUCAAAAGAAAAAGUAAAUUAACCUCAAUGGUAAACAUUCACUUUAUACUAUUGUUUCCAAGCUAAUAGGGUCUCUUAGAAUCAAGAUAGGUGUAACAAUGACCAAUUGACUUUUUAGGGGUGAAAACAUGGUAUGUACUGACUAGGGCCCAUAUUUUAGGUAGGUUUUCAUAAAGGCCGACAAUUACAAGAUUAUUGGUCUCUAGAUUAUCUAAUUGGGUUUUGCCUCCAUAUAGUUCAGGUCCCAAAUGUCCCUAAUUGGGUUUUAGUUAGGACAUGAGAUGCAUAAUAAUAGGAAAAUUUAGGGGUGACAAUUCAUGUUGGUGAGUAGUAUUGGUGUGGUGUUAAAACUCAAGUAUUUUACUAUAUAACUCAACCCAAAUCCGAAAAUAAUAAUAAUCUUGUCAAAAACAUAAACUCAAAUACUACCUAAUUACCAAAUAGGUCAUCUAACAUAUUUAACCCAUUAAAUAAUUAAGACCUUUUAUUUGAUAAUCAAGUUGAGUUAGGUCUUAUAUAUGUCUAUAUAUUAAUGUUAAUAAAUUUAAAAUUAGUUGAAUAAUUUAAAGAUAUAAUUAGAUUAAUAACUGGAUUAUUAAAUGAGUCAAUUCGAUUUAAAUUCAUAUUAUGUAGGUUGACCUAAAAAUGACUUAUUUAUUAAAUGGAUUCUACAUAUCAAUAUAAAUAUAACCUAAACUCAUUUAUACUUAAUCUAAACUCGUAAAAAAUGCAUUAGGAAUCAUAUCAAACUUUGCCACGCCUAAUAGAAAUGCCAAAUUCACUGAAAAAUGAGAGGAAGGAUCAUAAAUUGAGGUAGAUUAAAUAAACAUAAUUGCACUAGGAGACCUUUUUACAACCAUAUGAACUAUCACCUAAAAUACUAAGUUGUUAAGUAAUAAAACAACAAUGAACACGAAAUCUAUUGGAGCUACAACCCAAUGAAAAACUAAUACAAAAUUUAUGGUCAAUAAUCAAACAUGGAUUGAAAUAUCGGAUUUUACAGAUAUAUCGGUAUUUCGAUUCUACGGAUUUAUCAAAAAUAUCGGUGGAUAUUUUUUCACAAAUAUCAGUGGAUCGAAAAUUAUUUAAAAUUCAUAGAAAUGCUUAAAAAAAACUCCAAAAAAUGAUAAAAAUUAGUAACAAUACACAUUUUAAAGUUAUCUUGUAAGUGUAAUUGACAUACAUAUAAUCAAGAACAAAAACAUCGUAUAAACAGAGAUAUAUCAGUAGAUUCAAUAUUUGAAUUUUAAAAAUAAUAAAUAUGAAUUUUGCAAGUGUAUAAAAUUAGAAUUGAGUUAAGAAAUAUUUGAUUUUAUUGAAUAAAAAUAAUUUAUACAUAAAUAUAAUACAUAUGACAUUACAAUAGUCCUUAGUAUUAAAAAGAAGAUCGAUGUAGUUCCAUUGUAUUAUUUAGAUGAAGGGAGCUCAUCUUGUUGAAGACAAUAUUUAUUUUAAAAAUUUUAAAAUACUUUUAUAAAAACAUGUUUUAUUAUAUUUUAAAUGAAAAAUUAAAUUAAUUUAUAUAAAAUAUUUUAUUUGAGAUUUAAUUUUUAAAAUUUUAUUAAAAAUAAUAGUAACAACUUUUUCUAUUAACAUUAAUUUAUUUAAAUAAUAAAAAUUAUUAAUAAUUUAUCUUAUUAAAUUAAUUUUAAUUUAUAAAAUACCAUUAAUAAAAAUCGAAAUUUUGAUAGUGAUUUAAUUAAAAUAAAGGUUGAUAAUUAAUAAUUAUUUAUAUAGAGAUAGGAAAUUUUUUUUUUUUUUUUUUUAUCUAUGCUAAAUCUAAAAAUUAAAAGGGCCACCCGCUUCUCUCACUUGGGCAUCAAGAAGCCCUUUUCUUCUGAAGUUGCCCUCCAGACGAGAGAAUCCCUAAAAAGGCCCUAUUUUCCUCUGCCACUCGCAACCCCCGUUUGAUUACCAAGAAAAUCCAUCCCCCAUUCGAUUUCCGGGAAAAUUCAUUCUCGUUUGAUUUCCGAGAAAAUCCAUCCAAAACCCCCACGAAAAACCAAAAAAAUUGCUUUUCUUUUGCUCCCUUUUCUGGAUCUGUUUUGGGGGGUCGCUUUGCUGUUGUGCCAUUGGAUUUAAAUUUCACGAACCCUAAAUCCACAAUUUUUGAGCCAGGUUGAAAAACACAACCUUUGCCUGCAAAUCAUGAUCAGAUUACCAAAUAGCAUCUUAUUUAAAAAUAAAAAUAAAAAAUUGGACAGAUUUUGUAUCCUGUGCGUGGACUGGACUGGAAAUUUCCGAAAAAUCGGUAAAAAUACCGAAAUAUCGGCGAUAUUUUCGGUGAUUUUUCGAAAUCCUCCUCCGGCUGCUCCGCCGUCACCUCCACUUGCGAUACUUCGAUAUAUCGCCGAUUUUGCCGAUUUUCCUCUCGAGGGAUAAUCGAUGUUGAAUUUCGUUUCGAGGCCGCCGAGAUAUAUCGUCGAAAUAUAGCCGAUAAAAUCCAAUUUUUCAAGUCCAUGCACUCGGAACACAGCGUGAUUUUCAUUGUGUGUGGAUGGGUAGUGUUUUGUGUGAUGUCUUUUCUGAAAUUGGGACCGACGUUUGAAUUAUUUGCGUAAAGAGGCUGGUAGUGUGAGACACUUGCUCUAUGUGUGGCCCCAGAAAUCGACAGUCCAAUUUCAGAUUCAUGGGAUCUGACGGCCAUAAGCUAGAAAAAGGAAUAUUAUGCAUCACAUAAUAAAACUAUUUUUAAAAACGAUUAUCAAACAAGACGUUGGCUUCCAAUUAGAAAAUGACGGCUAUUGAUCUCAACGUGAAAAUCUCUCUCCCUCUCUCCCUCUCCCUCUCCCUCUCCCUCUCCCUCUCCCUCUCCCUCUCUCUCUCUCUCUCUCUCUCUCUCUCUCUUUAAAUGGUAUAAGUCGACAUAAAAAGAAAAAGGAAAAUAGAGGACAUGUCAUUGUAUUAUGUAGUUAUAAGAGCUAGGCAAGGGGAUAUGAAGCUUAAGAUGGCACACGCACCUCCCUUACAAAUGGAAAGAAAGCAAGAUUAAUGGAACUAUUGAUCCCAGACACUCCCCCAAUAACGGGCUAUGCUUUUUGAACGUGCUUUAGUCUAUCAGCCGAUGAAAAACCCGGCCCUGUGAAGAACUAUUGGUUUGACUCCACUAAGUCUUUUCGUGCUUCCUACUCACAACUUUUUGUUGGGUUCACCCCACUUGGCUAAUUUGAAUCUAAACCUUCUCUUUUUUUGGGUUCAUUUCUUCAUAGAAAUGAUCAUCAUCCACACUCAAACAAAACAAAACAAAACCAGAAAAUCCAUGGAGCUAGACUAUAUAUGUCAAACAAAACUUAGAGCUUGUUUGGCUAGGAAGUGCUUUUAAACUUUAUGAAGUUGGUUUCAAGUGCUAGAAAGAUGUUUCCUAGAAUAACUGCCAAACAAGCUAUUAGAGAUAUAUAGAUGGGAUCAAAUGAUCACCUGCAUUCGCCAUAGAAGGUCGCCGCUGGGCUUAACCUGAUACCGGUUCUUCCAGAAAUUUUCGCGAGCUGCUUCGACCUCAGCUCGCUCUUCUGGGGUUCCAUAAUCAGGAUCAAACUCCCAUAUCUGUCUUCCCACGAAGUUGUUGGUGCUGUAGAUGUAGGGAUCAUUGCCCCCAUCUGCAACCUUGAGCCUCCACAUUUUCCAACUCACCAAACGGACGAUAUAUAUCUCUAUAUCCAAGUGUAUAAAUGUUUGCACCUCUCUUCCGAAAACACCUGCUGAUCAUGCAAUCACUAUCCUUAUAUCAGAGGCCCCAUAAAUGCAAGAUAACCUGGUAUCUUUGCCACAAAAUAAAGGUAAAAUGAUUGGAAACAAGAGAAAGAAGUAGGCAGCAAGAAAGAGAUACAGACCUGGCCUUGUUUUCCAGAAGAUGGGAAUUCCCAGCAAGAAAUGAGAGAUGGGUAUUGAUUCAGGAAGUGGGAAUGGUGAGUUCCUUGUGGGAAAUCAAACAUUUAUAUAGAAGCAGAACACAAAGUCACCCACUCCAUCAUACUACUUUAUUUUUUUUUUAACUCAACUUUCAGAUUGUGGAAGUCAGUGUGGAGUAAAAACUAAAAACUGAAAACACGUUUUUGGACUUUUAACUGUUAAACAAACAAAUCGGUGGUCUUUCCAAUAAUCAAUCAAGAUUGUUUUUUCUUUUCUUUGUGGGGAAAGUGUGUGUUGUUUUCUCUAAUGGCUUCAUGUAAAUUCUACAUUUUGUUUUCAUCUCAACAUGGAGUCUAGUACAGGUAUCUAUGGAGUUACUCUCUCUCUCUCCCUCUCUUUUGUUUUUAUCUCAACAUGGACUCUCUCUCUCUCUCUCUCUCUCUCUCUCUCUCUCUCAUCCAUCACCAUAAUACCUAUAUUAAGAUAUUAAGAUACCAAUGAUACCUAUCACUAAGGAAAAUAUUAAGAUACUCAAAAUCUAAAUCCGAAAUAUUAAAUAUAUAUGAUGAAAUCUAAUUUAUUGAAUUAAAGUACAAAUAAACAAGAUUAAGAUAUAAGCAUAUAAACAAAUAAGAUAUUAUCAGAUUGAUGAUAACCCAAAUCCUAAUAAAAGUAAAUUAUAUUUUAUAUAUAUCUUAAAAGAAUGAUUUUUUUUUUUCUUCUAAACAUGGCCUUUGACAUUUUAAAAAGUAUAUAUAUGUCUUAAAGGACGAUCGAGGGCACAAGACAAUAGCAUAAAGGCAAAGGCUCUCUAUAAUACAAGUCCCAUGCGAGGAAAAGUUUACGUACGAAAAUUAUGCCCUACACAGGCUGAGUUUUAAAAAAAAUGAUAAUAAUGAGUAAAUCAACAUGGCAUGUUUAUUCUUCGCCAGAUGGCUUCAGUAUGAGCCAACCUGCACUCUCACUCUCAAGAAGGUAACGGUACUCCAACGCCAUUCAAAGUUCAAACCCAACAAAAUCAUGCAUAUAAAAAAACACAAAAAUAUUCUAUGAAGGUAGGUAAGAGCUAGGAUAGUUGAAAUUCAAGGGAUUAUCUUUCCUAAAAAUUAAUCCUUCACCUUUUUUCAACCUAAAAAAAUACUUAUUUUUGACAAAAAUAUCUUCAUCUUUUUUUUUAUAAAAAUAAUCAUUUUUUUUAAAUAUACAUAUAAAUAAUAAAAAUAUUGAAGGGUAUUUAUGUCAAAAAUAGGUUACUUCAAAAAACGGGAAGGUCUGUUUUACAAAUUUGGGAUGUUUUCAUCAUUUUUAAUUAAUUAAUCCUAUUAUUUUCCAAUCAUCUUAAUUUUGCCUUUUUUUUUUUUCUCCCUCACCCUCCUUAGUUAAAAUAUAUGUUUAGUUUUCAAAAAGUAUUAAGAAAAGAAAAAAAAAACAUUUAAAGAAAUAAUUAUUUUAUGUUUGAUUAGUUAGAAAUUUAUUUAUUUUUAAAUUAGUUAAUGUUUACAUUAAAGAGUUAAAUAAGUAGAAUGAAUUUUAAGUAUCUAAGUAUAUAAAAAUAAUUUAUCAAAAAUAAAUUCAUUUUUCCUUUUCUUUUGUUUUUUUUUUUGUUUUAUUUUUUUCCUAUCAUUUUCUCUCAAAUUUUGAGAGAAUCAAAUAUAGCCUAAGACUUGCUAAUGGCCGGAUUUUCUCACAUUUCACCCUAUGCAAUAUGGCCUAACCAUAAUUAAUAAAUAGGAAAACAAAAUGGAUCUAUAUUUUAUUUCAUUUUUUGAAAUAAUUGAUUAAAAUGGAUGAAAUUAACAAUCUCAUAUUUGUAAAUUUAAUAUCUCCUAUCUUUUUGUCUGAAAAAUUAAGCCAAUGUCUUUUCAAAUAUUAAUUAUUUAUGUGAAUUUUAAAAGAAAAUAUUAUUUUUAUACUAAAAAUAUGAGGACAUUUUUGUUUGAAACUGGUUAAAAAAGUCAAGAUUUAAAUUUACAAAAUGGGAACAUGUGGAAGAUAUGAAGAAGAUGAUAGCUCAGGAAACCUAUCUAUCUUGAUUCCUCAAAUUGUCCCUCCAUCAUCAAGUCUACGAAAAUAGGAUAAAAAAUUCAUCCACCAACGACCAAGAACAUGUGGUGGAUUCUCUCCCCACGUUCCUUGUUUUCACUUGUAGCCUUCUGUUCCGGAUAGGAAGAAUGUCACUUUAAUACGUCUCUCAGUCCUCUACUCACAACUUGACGAUGAACUAGUAAAUUUUCACUAGGAUUUCGUUUUCUUUCCUAGAGAAUUUGUAAUGUGUACAUUGAAAUGGAUGACUCUAUGUUGGUUUCUUAAAGAAAAUAAAAAAAUAAAAAUGGAAGAAAAAUAAAAAUAGAUUUAGAGUUAAUAAAUAGUUUUUAUAUGAUAUUUUAAAUUUAUUUUACUAACCUUAACUUUGUAUUAUAAAAAUCAAAUAAUUUAAAAAUAUAUAUUUUUAAUUAAUUUUAAUUAUAUAUAUAUAUAUAUAUAUAUAUAUAUAUAUAUAUAUAUAUAUAUAUAUUGCAUUUUCUAGUUAAUGUUAAAUAGCAACUUUUUGCAUACUAUGAAAAUAUAAUUAAGGGUAGGAAAAGUCCCACCACAUAAGAGUAGGACAUUUAUCAAACUUGUACAAUUAGAUUUGAAACUUCAAUAGAUUGGGACCGAUAUUUAAGAAUCCUCUUGAUUAUAAUUAAAUACAAAGACUUUACUAGAUUGUCACGUGGAUAUUUAAGAACCAUCUUAGAAAAGGGGUUUAGAUGUAAUUAGAUAUGACAACGACUUUAGUAGAUUAUCCCUUGAAUAUUUAAAAAUCCUCUCGAAAAAUAAGGUUUGAGGAUAAGUUUACUCAUUCAUUAAAUAAUAAUUAUAAUUUUCAACUUUGGGGUAUUGGAAUGGGAGUAUAAACGAUAGAUUUUAUAAUUGACUUAGAAAUAUUCAAAGUCCAACAUUUCAACAGUGAAGAAUUGAUUGCAUGUUGAUGGUAUCAAACUGACUAAUAUUUAUCAUAAGGGUUUUUUUUUUUUUUUUUUGUCUUUUUUUUUUCAAAGGGCCAAAAUAUCCAAACUGCCAAUUUGUGAAUGGUUUUUAAGAAUAAUUUUUUAUUCUCUAAAACAACAAAUAUAGAAAAGCAUGUUUUGAUAAUAAAAAAUUGUUUUCUAUUUUCUAAUUUUAAGAACAAAAAAUAGUAUAUUUUUAAAUAAUAUCUUUUAAUUAUUUUAUGUUGAUUCACUUAUUUUUAAAUGAUUGUUUUAAGAAAUAAUUAUAUAAAUAUAUAAAAUAAUUAAAAAUAAAAUAUUAGAUAUAAAAAUUAUUUUUAAGAUAAGUUUAAAAAUAUUAAAAAUAAUUUUAAAACAUUUUAUGUUUUAAAACAAAAUUUUGUAAUAUAAAAAUAAGAUAACAAUUUUCAAAAACUAUUUUUUUAAAUAGUCAAGCAAACGGAGCCCAUGUUUCACUUCCCUUGAUUGCUUAAAAGCCAAGGUGGACCCUUGAGAAAGUUGACUUUACAUAUAUUUCUAUGUUUAGGCAAUUAUGACAGUUUCAUGGUUUUUAUUUUGAAAACAUGUUGUCAAUAAUUGUAUGUUUCACAAUAAAUAUAAGUACUUAAUCUUCACCAACAUUUUCAAACUUUCAACAUCCCACUAUUCUUUCUCAUUCAAAGAAAGUAAAAAAUACGCGGUUUGGGGAUAUUUUCGAAAAUAGUUUUCAAAAUAUAAUUAAAUAUCUUUUGAAAAAAUAUCUUAUUUUCAAAACAAUUCUUAAAAACUUGUUUUUGAAAACAAUUGAUAACUUAUGUUUUCAUGCUUUUUAUUUAUUUAUUUAUUUAUUUUAUCUUAUAAACAUUAUGUAAAUGUCUAAUUAACUUUUUUUAAAUCAAUUCUCAAAAACCCAGUUUUGAUAACAAUUCUUAAAAUCGGUUUUCAAAUACUUUUUUCAACAAAAUUUAUUUGAAAAAUCAAAUAUUAAAAUUGGUUUUCUCAAUACUACAUACUUACUAAUGUAUUAUACAAAAAAAAUUAGAACAAAAAACACAGAAAACACGUUUGACAAGCAAAAACCAUUUUUUAUUUUCGGUAUUUAAGAAUAGAAAAUAUGAUAUUUUUAGAAAAUAUUUUUUAAUUGUUUUCUAUUUUCGCUUGUUUUCUAAAGGUUAUUUUAAGAAAUAAUUAUACAAUCAUAUAGAAUGAUUAAAAAUAAAAUACUAGAUAUAAAAAUCAGUUUUAAAAAUAUUAAAAACGGAUUAAAAACAUUUUAAAUUUUCAAACAAACUUUUGUUCUACAAAAAUUAAAAAAUAAAUUUCAAAAAUUAUUCUCAAAAAGUAUUUUUUUUAUAAUUGUUUUCAAAAAUAGUUACCAAAUAUACUUUAAAUGUUUUUUUAUUAUAUAUUUUAAUUAUUUUUCAUUUUUUUAAGAUAAUUUUUAAAGAAUAAUUAAAAAUAAAACAAUAUCAAUAAAAGUUAUUUUAAGAAAUAUUUGAACAUUUAUUUAAAAUGUUAUCAAACAAGUACCCUAAAAAUUGUUCUAAAGAGCAUCCUAUUGAGUUAUUGUUGACUAUUUUUUUUAUUUUUAAGAAAAAACUGUUUUCAAGAGCUGGUAAAUAACAUAAACUUAAAAUUUAUUUUCCAAAUUAUUUAAAAACUUUUCUUUUUUCUUUUUUUCUUUUUCUUUUCUUUUUUUUUUGGGGGGAUUCUUUUCUUUUUUUUUUUUUGGGGGGGCGGCCGCCGCCGCGGGGAGGGAGAAAUUAAUGAGUCACGUUCUUUUUAGGUGAAUCCAUGAAUCCUCCCAAUGAAUGGCCCCUUAAUUCGUUGAAUUUGUUGAAUUUGUUUCACAGUACAAUCCAAAUGCAUCCACUUUUCUACCAGAUCCAGCUGUCCCCAAGAAGACAUUCAAUAUUAAAUAUUAAAAAUUGACUACUUCUUUGUAAAGUAUUUCAAUUUGGCUAAUUGAAAUUUUAUUUAUUUUGGAUUUCAGCUUGAUGCAGUUCCCCUUUUUUGGUGAAAAAUUCUUAUUAAACACCAUCAAUGUGAAAGGGAAAGUGUGAGCCGUUUACUUAUUGUGGGGGAGCUUAAAAGUCUUUGUAGGAAAGGGAGAGAAGGAAAAUGGCCAAAGAAGUGGAAAAUGAGGAAAGUGAUUGAAAGGGAGGUGAUUGACAAGGUUGGUAGGGCUCAUAGUUUAAUAGAGGCAUAAGAAAAAUAUAAUAAUUUUUUAUGAAUAAAUCUUAAUUAAUAGAUUUUAAAUUUAUUUUAUUAAAUAAUUAAGAAUAUUAUAAAAUGAAUAUAUAUAUAUAUAUAUAUAUAUAUAUAUAUAUAUAUAAUGAGGAGGAAGGAAUUAGAGAAGAGAAUUGAUGAAGAAUUUCGUUAUGAGAAAUCUUUUAUAAGUUUUACCAAAUGAUCUUCCAUUACUCAUAUUUAAGAUGAGUAAAUGGAAGUUCAUAAAUGAAUUUCAAUGUGGUCAUUCUCCACUCAUUUACAAUAAAGAAGGUACUAUUAUUUAGGUUUAAGUUCAUUUAUCUUACUUAAUGUUUUGGUUAAAUACAUUUGACUUUCAUUAAUUUGAAAUUUCAAUCUAUACUUUCUUUAUUUCAAGCAAGAGAUGGUAAAUAAAAAUAACAAAUAAAAAGAAUAAAAAAUGUAUUUGAUAAAAUUUCAAUCCAAUAAAGGAUAACUUUUAUCAUUUAUUAUAUACUAUGACACAUUCUUAUAAGACAUGAGUCUUAGGUGGUGUUUGUUUUUUUAGCUUUUUGCUGAAAACAAUUUGUUUUAAGAAUUUAGGUUGUUUGUUUUUCUAUUUUUUCAUGACUUAUUAUAAACUUUUUACUAAAUAGAAAAAACCAAAAUAUGUAACUUUUUUUAAAUAGAAAAAAUAACAUAUCAGUUUUUCUUUACUUUUUAAUACUUAAUAGAAAUAAAAUACUACAAAAACAAACAACCUAAUAUUUAACAUUAUUAAACAUCAAAGUUCUAUAUAAAAUUAAGUAAAAAAACAAACACCUGUAUGUAUGUAUGCAUGCAUGUAUUCCAAAAUCGCUAUUAUUUUUUUUUUUUGAAAACAAUUCUAAAAAAUAAAUUUCAAUUAUUUUUUAAAAUAAUAUUCUAUUUGAAAACUCAAAUACAGGAACCAUUUAUUCACUUCAUAUAAAAUGCUUUCAAAGUAUUUGUCAUAUUUGAAUUGUUACUCAAAACAUUUUAUAAAAAUUAAUUAAAAAGCACCUUAAUUUUAUUCCCAAAACAACCUAUUUUCCAAAAAAAAAUCUCAAAAGUUUAUAUUUUAUCUAAAAUUUGUCAAAUAUCUAUUCUAAAUAAUAUUUUUGACAUAAUUCAUAUGAUUUGAUGAAGUAUUUUAAUUGAAUUAUUUUCAUUUAAUUUAAUUGUGAUAAUAUUUUGGACUUACCUAUUUAAUUAUUUUGAAUUUUGUAUGAUUUUGGAGGCUCAUUGUAAGCAUUUCAUAAUUUUAUUUUGUUAUAUUGGGUUUGUGAUUAAUUAGGCUUCUUUUCAUAUGUUGGGUAGGGUUUAUUCUAACAAUUCAAAUGGAAAAUCAAUUAUUUUUCAUCUAAAAAAAGGUGACCACUUUUGAUAAUGACAAAAGAAACCAUUGUACCAUACAUCCUUCCUUAUCAUGCGUAUUCAGGACUUCAAGUCCUGAAUUUCCAGGCAUUUGGAUCCAAGUGAUGAUAAAGAAGUUGGCCACUUGUAUUGGAAAAUAGACUAUAAAAAUAAUAUUCAUAAAAAAUACAUAAAUUUAAUUUUGGAAAAAUUUUUAUAUCCAAUAUAUUUAAUUUGUUAGUAUCUUAAUACACAACUUAAACAAAAAAUUAAAUAAAAAAUUGAAUUCCUUAGAAUAUGAAAUUCACUCAAAUAUUAAAAAAAAGUUGCAUAAUUUUUAUUUAUUUAUUUAAAAUUACAAAAUAGCAUAUAAGAAUAUUUAGAAGUUUACAUUACAAAUCAUUUUAAAAAUAUAAGGUAAAUAGAUACUUUAUAUAUAGAAUGUUCUAGUUUUAUACAAUAUAUAUAUAUAUAUAUUUUAAACAUGAAAAAUAUCCAAACAAACACUCAAUUUAUUUAUUUAUUAUUUUUUAUAUUUAUUUGCCAAUUCAAAAUAGAGUGCAAAACAUGUCAAUACCAAAUAACUCCUUUAAUUCUUUACCAUAAUUUAACAACUAUUUUAUAGGCUCCAACAAGGAAAAUUUUCUUGAAUUUUUAAUAAUGCAUAAAGUAAUAAUCCACCUUUAAAUAAUAUAUUGAUUUGGUUUGAUUAAUUUGAUUAUAAUAAGAUAGUUUGACUUUGAUAUUGUAUUUAAUAAUUUUGUUUUUGGCAUUUCCCCUCUUGUACCUUCAAGGUACAAGUCCAACAAACCAAAAUGGUUAUGAAUCUUAUGAUACAAAUAACCGAUUAUUAUAUAAGAAUUAGAUUAUGUUUGGUGGCAAUUUUAUGAAGUAUUUUUUUUUUUUUUAACUCUUUUAACACUUAAAAUAUAAUUUUUUUAAAUAUUAAAAAGAUUAAAAAUAUUUUUUAAAAUCACUAUCAAACAAACUUUUAAUCUACCUUGGUUCAAUCAAUAAAGAAUUGACUAGUUGUAUUGAUAAAGAGUAUUGAAGUUGAAGGAAACCUUUCACCACUCACAAAUUAAAUGAUUAAUUUUUGGAAUAAUAAUCACCCUAAAAUAAUCACCCUAACUUUCUUUUGAUAUCAAAGUUUAGAAAUAUUUCAAAGCAAUAUUGGAAAGUGGAGACACCAAUUUGAAAAAGAUUUCACAUUACUUUUUCCUCCUUUUUGAUUUUCUCAUGCCCAACACAAUACUCUCCACAAUAAAUAAAAUAAUAUUCAUAUUCACAAUAAAGAAGUUGGCCACUUGUAUUAGAAAAUGGACUAUAAAAAUAAUAUUCAUAAAAAAUACAUAAAUUUAAUUUUGGAAAAUUUUUUAUAUCCAAUAUAUUUAAUUUGUUAGAAUCUUAAUACACAACUUAAACAAAUUUUUUUUAUAAAAAAAAUUGAAUUCCUUAGAAUAUGAAAUUCACUCAAAUAUUAAAAAAAAGUUGCAUAAUUUUUAUUUAUUUAUUUAAAAUUACAAAAUAGCAUAUAAGAAUAUUUAGAAGUUUACAUUACAAAUCAUUUUAAAAAUAUAAGGUAAAUAGAUACUUUAUAUAUAGAAUGUUCUAGUUUUAUACAAUAUAUAUAUAUAUAUAUUUUAAACAUGAAAAAUAUCCAAACAAACACUCAAUUUAUUUAUUUAUUUUUAUUUUUGAUAUUUAUUUACCAAUUCAAAAUAGAGUGCAAAACAUGUCAAUACCAAAUAACUCCUUUAAUUCUUUACCAUAAUUUAACAACUAUUUUAUAGGCUCCAACAAGGAAAAUUUUCUUGAAUUUUUAAUAAUGCAUAAAGUAAUAAUCCACUUUUAAAUAAUAUAUUGAUUUGAUUUGAUUAUAAUAAGGUAGUUUGGCUUUCAUAUUAUAUUUAAUAAUUUUGUUUUUGGCAUGGCCCCUCUUGUACCUUCAAGGUACAAGUCCAACAAACCUAUGAUCCAACAAAUCAAAGCAUGUUAUGAUACAAAUAACCAAUUAUUAUAUAAGUAUUGGAGUAUGUUUAGUAGUGAUUUUAUGAAGUAUUUUUAAUUUUUUUAAUAUUUAAAAUAUAAAAAAAUUAAAAAAUUAGAAAAAUUAAAAACACGUUCUAAAUUUAUUACCAAAUAAACUCUUAAUCUAUCUUGAUUCAACCAUCAAAGAUUUUAAAUUUAAUUCCACCAUAGAUUGGUUAGUUGUGUUGAUAAAGACUCUUGAAGUUGAAGGAAACCUACCACCACUCACAUCUUAUAUGAUUAUUUUUUUAGAAUAAAAGGUGUACAAUCACCCUAACUUUCUUUUGAUAUCAAAGUUUACAAGUAUUUCAAAGCAAUGGUGGAAAGUGGAGGCACCAAUUUUAAAAAGACUUCACAUCCUUUUCCUCCUUUUUUAUUUUCUCAUGCCCAACACAAUAUUCUCCACAAUAAAUAAAAUAAUGUUCAUAUUCAAAUUCAUAAUAAUAAUUUCUUUUUUCAUCCUUUUCCCAUGGUGGAGGAAAAAUUGAGCUUCCCAAUAUUUUCCUAGAAAGCACCAAGAAAUUAAUUGAAUCUCUGUGUAUAUUUGUAUCAUUAAUUCUAUUUUAAUUAAUAAUAAUUGUGUUCCACUUUGUGUUAAUUUAAUAUGACCUCUCCUUAAUUUCUUACCAUGGAAAAACAAUUGCCCCCACCAACCAAUCAAAUUGAAAAUUUCUUAGUGAUGUCAUCAAAGAUGGUCACAAAGAAUACUGAUCUUCCAUUCCAAUUAAUGUAAUCAAAAUUGAAAAAUUCAUAUGAUGAUAAUCUCUUAAUUCAUUUUAUUAAUCUUUUUUUCUUUUUUUUUCUUUUUUCUUUUUUAACAAAAAAAAAAAAAAAAAAACCCAACAAGUUAUAAAAUUACUCAUAAAUUGAUUAGUUUAUUUCAUCAAGUAGACAAAACCCAUAUAGUGGGGCUUCUCUAUUUUGACUGUGGAAGUCAAAAUCCAGGACACAAUUAAGAUGACAAUCUAGAAAGUUGAGGCUGGAGUGAAGCUUCAUCUUGGAAUUUUUUUAAUGGAUAAGGAGCCAUGUUUUCUACAGGGCCUGCCAUAGAAAAUUCCAUUGCACAAAAAGUUGACUAACUCUUAAUCUUUUGUUUUUUGGCCUUCUUUUCCAAUCUUCACCUCAUUCUUUCCCAUUAGGUUUGUAAGCCCUAUUUGGCCUUUUGUCCCAAAUGUUAAUGUAUUUUGAAUGUUUUAUUGCUAUUAGUUUUGUAAAUUAAGCCUUAUCAUUUUUAAAUAAUUGGUUUAAAAGGAUAAAAUUAUCCUCAUAUUUAUGAAUUUAUCCCCUCUUAAAUCCAUUUUGACAUAAAUAUCCUUGAUUAUUUUAUGUAUUUAUAGUAUAUUUUAAAAGAAAAAAAAUUAAUUUUAUAAAAAGAAAUAAUGACAUUUUUGUCAAAAUAAGACAAAAAAAAAAUGAAAAGUUUGAUUUUUAAUUAAUUUUAAUAAUCCUUUUAAUUAAAUAAUUUUAUUAUAUUAAAGUCUAAAUAAAGAAAAUAAAGGCGUCUUGUCGCUAUCUUCUCUGUCCGUCUCUCUCUUAACCUUUAAGCAAAGAAUAGAUCACACUUUGAGUCUAUCCAAUUGAGCAAACUCUUAGGAUCAUAUCAUCAACAUUGUCAAAAUAAUAAUAAUUCCCCAUACCCAUUGAUUAAAUUUAAUAAUUCAUAUUACUAUGUCAUUAAAAUUGUCACAAUAUAAUAACACUCAUAGUCUAUCAUUCUUUAUUUGACUAGAAAUAAGGGUGUGAUCAUUUCAUCUCGAAACCAUUUAGUACUUAAAUAAGAAUAUAUUAAUUUUUUUAAUAAUCUUUGUCAUCAAUAUCAUUUAAAUAAUCCAAUUUUUAUUAUAGGUCAAGUUAAAUAUCAUAAAAAAACUUUUAUUUACCUUCCUUAAACAUCAAUUGAUAUUAUUAAUAUGAAACUAUAAAAACAUUAUUUCAGAAUAUUACAUAUUCACAAUUUAUAGAAGUAUAGUGGGGAGAGCCGGUCAAACAAAUAUUCCCUGUUUAUAAUGUUUCUUCUCUAUAUUUAAUGGCACAAGAAGUUGAGUAGCUCUUAUUUGUAAUUUGUCGUUUUCCUUCCUAAAAAAUUUCCUUUUACACUCUUUAUCUCAUUCUUUCCCAAUAGGUUGAGUCUAAAUAUCUUGUUUGAUCUUUUGUCCAAACAAUUGAAAGUUCAAAACCCAUGAAUUAGGGUUUAGAUAAAAAAAAAUUAAAUAAACAAAUGAAGGUAACCUAAAUUCAACACCUAUCAUAUUCAUCUAGUAGUUCUUGGAUCAAAUUCAACUCAAGUGUGGAUGGAAUAAUGCAGUCAACUUUGAAUCAUGCAAUCACCUUAACAAUCCUGCCCAUCAAAUCUGUUGAAAUUAGUUGCCACGUGCAUGCUUAUGAUGUAUGCAAUUCUAUAUAUGUUCCCAUAAUGUCUGGUCAUCAACUUAAUUACAAUAUAACCCACCAAGACAUUUGAGGCCUCAUAAUUAGGAUUAGCUACUCAUAAAACAUAAAAUAUUGGGUGAUUAAUUAGUCGGUUUUCGUCACCUUCCAAACUUUACCCUAAGCUGCUCAUUAAACUAGUCCCCUGUCUUCCCAAGUUUAAUUUACACAAUCUUUUACUUAGGUUAAUAAUCUUAGUAGCUUUUAUUUCAAAGAAAAGUUGGUCUUCUUUGGCUCUCUAAAUUCUUUGCUUCGUGCCUUUUUAACCAGUCUCAAAGUUACAUACAAUCUUAUCAUUAGAUGCCUUGUUUUAUUUAUUUUGAUGGAGGAGUCUCUACUUCUUUGACUCUUCUUUUUGACUAAGACCCCAGACAGCCAUGUUGGAGGUGGAAUAUGGAUUGGAAAAUGUCCACAUACCUAGAGUCCUAUAAUAUAAUGUAUACUAAUGAGCGUGAUCAUGAUCAUGGACCCAAGAGAGAAUAUUCAACUCACGACGUUAUUCUUUUUCCAUUUUUAAUAGCUGAUCUUUGUUGAACUUGGUCUUUGUACUGUUCAGGGAUUUUCCUUUUUCCGCUCUUUCACACACAUGGAGCCACAUUCAGGUAUUGUUUGGGGAAAAGACAGAUCUAAUGGCAUAUUUUUUUUAGCAGUAUAUGAUACUAUAAACUAACUAGGGUAUGUGCCAUGUCUGGAAUUCCUCAAUAGAAUCAUAUUUGUUUAACUGAUUCGUACCUGCAUAACCUUCUUAGGGAAAAUAAAAUCGGCCAUGGAAAGCAUACAUACAUAUAUAACAAAAAAGAUUGUACGUGGAUCCAGCAGAUGUUGUUGGGUCUACUGCAUAUGUUGUUAAUGGAAGAAAGCAGUUGUUUUGGUCAACCAUGCCUGCUUUCACCAAUAUCAACUUACAAGAUCAUAAUGGGAACUCAGCUUUAUCUAUCGUUAUCUUCGAGUGACACCCUAUUGAAAUUGAGUGCAACUCGCUUGCUAGCAAUUGGUGUUUGUAGGCGCACUGGGCGGUGUUCACAUCGUGCCAAAACCUAGUCAACUCAAACCAUAUAUAAAUAAAAAUCGUGUUAAACAUGUAAAUCAAAAUACUAUUUAAUCAUUAAAUAAGUGACACGUAUCUUAUGCAUUUCAUUUAACCUAUUUAAUAAUCAAGUUGAAAUAGGUCUUAUAUAAUUUUAAUCAAACAUAUUUAUGACUCAAUUGAUUUAUUUAUUUAAAAAUAAAUUUAAAAUAAGUUAAAGAUGAGUUAAAUAAUUUAAAGUUAUCAUUAGUUAAUUAAUCGGAUUAUUAAAUGUGUCAAUUAAGUCAAAUUUAUGUCAUAUGGUUUGACCCAAAUUACCUAUUUAUUAAAUGACUUAUGCAGGUUAACAUGAAUUUAAUCAAAAUCUGAUUAUACUCAAUUUAAGCCUUAAAAAAUGUGUUGGGUUUAAGUCAUGUUAAUGGAUCCCAUCAAAGUUUGUCACCUUUAAUAAUAUAUAUGGAGGUGAGGAUUUACUUAAUAAAUUAUAUACAUUAAUAUUAGUAUAGUUAUGAUUAAGCCAUGUAUCAAAUUCUCAAAAGUUAGCUCAGUUUGAUCAUUAGCAUUAUUACUCAUUUUUUUAUUAGAUUAAAGUUUAUUUGACAGUGCUUUUAAAAAAUACCUUUAAUAUAAAAACGUUUUUGAAAAACAAAAAAUUAGAUGUUUUAUAAAAUUAAAAAAAAACAAUAUUAAACAAUUAAAAAAAUCACUCAUUAUGCUUCUUGAAGAAGCAUUUGAUUGGUAAUUCUCUCAUAACAUUUAUAAAAAAAAUACUUCCACUAAAAUCUCUUUUAAUACAAACACUAUAGAGGCAAUUUUCAUGAUAGAAAUAUAUUCAUUUGUGGCUUGUAGCAACCUUACCAUAACAUGGGGGUCAUUAAUUAAGAACUUUAUGAACCCAUUACGGAUCCGUCCCUAGUGUUGCUAGGAGGAAGACCUAGCCCCCACCACCAACUACCUCAAUUUAUGUAUAUAAAUUUUAAGACUUAAAUGAUUAUAUUAGUUUAUAUCUAAUUUUAAAAUUAGAAAAUUAAAAAAAAAUUAAUGCUGCGUUUGAAAGUAGUUUUUUACAAAGUGUUUUUAGUUGAAAUAUUUUCUUUAAAAGUGUUUUUAGGAGAAUUACUUAUGAAGCAUUUCUUAAAAAAACACUAUAAAUAAUUUUUUAAAACUAUAAAUGAUUUUUUAGAUUUUUGAAAAUAUUUAUUAAAUUUUGUUAAUUAUUAUUAUUAUUUUAAAAAAAAUACUUUGUAAGCUAAAAACACUUCUUAAAAUCACUAUCAAAGCAACUUUAAGAAGGGGCUAACAACUAGUGUACCUAAUAGGCAUCCCAACUUGCUUAGUUUAAGAUGGAGAAUGUAAUGAAAAUGAAAAAAAAAAAAAAAAAAAGGUUCCUUGUAUGAAAAAAUCAACAAAAUUAUGGUGGUGGUUACAAAGGCUUAGUAGUCUCCUUAACAAGUCCCCUCAAUUAAAAUCUCAGUAGUACUUCUCUUUUCACCAUUUUUUUUCCCUAACACAUCCUCCAACUGAAGUCUCAGCCCCCCUCAGACAAAAAAUGUUUAGUUGAGAUGCGAAAGGCUCAACUUUUGCAAACCUCGAAAAGAGAAGACAAAAGACUUGUUGUGUUGGCACCUAACUUUUGGGACUUCUUCUUUAAGCCUCAAUUGGACUUGGACUAGGAAUAUAAUUCUACAAGGAUGACUGGUGGGGUGUGUGUUACUGAAUUUUUUUUCUUUUUGGAUCGAGCUGUGUUGGUGGGCUUCUCCUUACACCACCCGGCCUGAAUGCUUUCAUGGACCUAUGUUGGUUAUCUUUUCUUUUUGGGUUUCUAUUGGAGCCCAAAUGACUUAAUUUCUGUUUUGGAAGAAUUUUGAAAAUCCGUUUUAAAAAACAACUAAAAACAAUUUAAAAUGUUCUUGGAAAACACUAUAUUUUUGUCUUCAAAAAUGGAAAAUUGUUUUCUAUUUUAUGUUUCUUCUUAUUUGAUAUAUUUAAUAAAAGAUGUUUGAAAACUAAUAAUUUGAAGAAAAAAAAUGAAGUUUUGACAUAUUUUCAAAUAUCUCAAAAUAUAAUAAGUUAUUUGUACUUAUUUUAUAUAAUUAAGAUAAAACAUUUAACAACUAUUAAAAUGCAAAGAAAAUAUUAAAAAAUUCAUCUAACUUAAAUUUUCUAAGAUGUGCUUUUUUUGUGGUGCAUCGUUAAAUUUACAAAAAGUUAUGACUUAAGAAUUAUGAUUAUGAUUGAAAUGUGUGUUUAAUUAUUCAAAGUUAUGACUUUCGAAUCAAUUAUGAUUGAAAUGUGUGUUCAAUUGUACAACGAAUUCCCAAUUUAGGGAAGAAUAUUAAAUUUUAAUUGAAAUUGUUAGAUUUAAUGGGUACUUAGAUGAGCCUGAUUUAUCUUUUAGAAUCAUAAUUAGAGAAAUUUCAUUAAAAUUAAUUAUAGUUAUUUAUUUUGAUUUUCUAUAAGGAGUUACAUUUUGAAAAAUUACACUAAAUUCAUUUUUAAUCCAAAUUUUACAAGUUUUACGUUCUUUUCAUUUUUGAAUGAAUCUACCAAAAUUCAUCUUAAUUUCAUUAAGAUUGGAUGAGUUAUAAGGAAAAAAAUAUAUUGAUAGCUUAUAUAUGGUUUGUGGAUGAAUUUCAACUAUAGAUUACACUUCGGGAGGAAUAGGAGUUUUUCAUCAAGUUGAAAAAGUCUUCUAAGAAAGAUUGUCCGUCCUCUAAAGCAUUUUUCACCAUUUACAAUUUUUUUUGUUUUGUUCUUUUUAGCAAAUAAGCCAAACCACAUGCAAGAAGGAAUGCAUCAACACUCUUUCAACAAGUAAAUCAACAUAACUUACAUAUAAAUAGCAAUACUCCUUGAUUAAGAAUUACAUUAACUUUCAACUACAUAAUUCACAAAAGUAAAUAUCCUUCACUGAAAAUUAUUUCAAACCAUUUCAAAGAUUAAUUAAGCAUAUUUCAACUCAAAUUCUCCUCUAAUAUACUAAUUAAAACAAUAUAAUUUUAUUAAUAUAAGAUAAAUAUAAGGAAAUUAACUAAAGAAGAGAUAAAAUACUUGGGGCCUACAAGUGAUUAAAAAAACAUCUACUAUGAAGAACAAAAUUUAAAUAUAAAGUUUUAUCUAGCUCAAGUCUAUUAAUCUUUCUUGAGCCACUUGACUAGUAUCUUUCCAUUUUAACUACUUGUCUUUUUCUUCCAAAGUAUACUUGGAUUCCAUACCAAAAUCGAUCUUGAUAUCUUCUUGAAUCCACAUAAGUUCUUUAAUUAUUCUAAUCUUAAUUUAUGUGGAUGAUGUUAUUAUAAUAGAUAGAAACCCUUGCUAUAAUCCAAUGGAUUAUUAUCACUCUUAGCUCCAAAUUUGCUCUAAAGGACCUUGGCUAGUUGAAAUAUUUCUCGGGAAUUGAAGUUAACAUCACACCUUGGUUGGUACUCUCCCAUAUUUGACAUUCACUAGACCAGAUAUCACUCACGCAAUUAACGAAGUGUGCCAAGGUCUCCAACAACCAAGGCAAAUUUCAAGGUUGUGAAAUGAAAUCUACAUUGUUGAUCAAUUGUUAACUAAGAAAUGAAUAAUAAUUUUUAGGAGAGAGGCACUAUCAAAAAAAAAAAAAAAAAAAACAAAAUCAAUGUCAAACUUAUUUGGGUUUAAAGAGGAUUUGGUUGAUUAUAAUUCAUGUGUAACUGCACUUCCUUUGUCACUACCACCAUGUGACUCCAUAUAGUGUUUGGGAGAGUUAGAUCUUGGAAUUGGGCGUUUGCAAAAAUAGCCCGAAGGUCAAAAGCAGUUCAGGGUUGUGAUCAUAGGGUAUGGGUUAGAGAAACAAGAUGAUUGCUUUUAAAGUUUAAACUGAAAAUGUAGCGAUUCCCGAAUUUAAUAAAAUGUAGAAGUGUAGAAAAAAGGAAAACGAAACCAUGGAUUCAUGCCUCUACAUGAACUAAGCUUAGACAUGUUGACUAAUCAAACUCUAAUAUUGAUUUUACACCUGAGGCGCAUAUUUAUAGACUUUGAAGGCUUUCAUAUUUAGUUUCAACAAGGUACUUUUUGAAGAUGCAUUAAACCGUUUCUUUAUCUAAUGCAUUACUUCACCCACACUGAGUCUGUUGGUAGCAGUAGUAUUUAGUUUUGUGGGGUAUUAUUUGAGAUCUACUUGAGCAUUGAAUAAAAUUAGACUAAAAUGUUGUCUUCCCUUCCAGGUAUACUGCAGAGAACUCUGUAAAAUUUGGAGCUCCUCGAGAUAUGGCUUUGUGAUCCAUAUCUCAUGAAGCACAAUAGGGCUCUUUUGUUACUAAGUAGUGAUUUUGGCACUACAGUGCUCUUCAAUUUCUCUCUUAAUUUUUCAAUUUACAUGAAUGUGGAAACUUUUACACAUCAAUCAUUUGCUACAAUAAUAAUCAUGUAAAUUUGGUAUACUUUUCCCAUUCUCUAUAAUUGAUUAGCUUAGGAGCUGUAUGGAGAGGAAAAUGACAUGGGUCGGUGUUUGACAAUAACAGGAAACCUCUGACUCUUGGCAUUAAAAUGAGCUAAAGAUGGGUUUGGAAACCACUUUCAAAUGAAAAUUGACAUGCAUAAUUUUUUGUGUGUUUGACACAAUAAAAAUUACUUAACCAGAAAUGAAAUAGCGAGACCAAAGGGAAAGGGCUUGAGCGUCCUUGAUUCAAAGUCUCUAUAUCCCAAAGGGGAAGCAACUGAGCUUGAUAGCUGCCAUCAAGACAGAAUGACUCUUUGCACGAUUCUAUUGAAGAAGCUGAUUUUCCUACACGUUCAGCAUCGGUUCAUUCCGUACUGCUCACUAUAAGUACCUUUUGCCCUUAUUGAGGAGAGGGAGGCUUGUGCCAACCACUGCCCUUAGUCUCCCUGCCUCUGACCUCACUAUAUCGAGGAGUGACUUUGUCACAUGGCUUCAGAUGGAAUUACAGCACAGUAUUGGAAUUAGUAUUCAAAUGGCUACCCUAUGGAGAGUUUUUUAGGCCUCAAUCUUAACAGUAUAGGUUGACCACUCGGAAACUGGGACCACAACCUAGCCUAGGCUUGAUCCAGGCACUGCUUAGAGACACAUUUCACUUAACUUCUUUGAUCUGUUACUUGUAUUUAUUGUGACACUUAGUUGCUUCUUGUUUAUCUGAUCCAGGAAGCUUGUUUUAUCAAAGAAUGAGACCUUUCGAUGUUUAUGGAUGAAUUCCUCUUGUCAGCAUUGGUUCUUUAAUAUUCACCAAAAAGUGAACAAGCUUGGAGCCUUAGGUAGAUAUUUUACAAAGCCUUCUGUACUGUUAUCUUAUGCUAAGUACUGAAUAUAAAUGUUGUUAAGGGUACCACCAGUGACAUGCAGAUGCAAUGUUGAUCAUGGAUCUGUAUAAUUGGUCCACUUUUCCCAUUCUCUAUAAUUGAUUGACUUAGGAGCUGUAUGGAGAGGAAAAUGACAUGCAUAAUUUUUAGUGGAUUCAUGCUUCAAUCUUAACAAUACAGGUUGACCACAACCUAGCCUAAGCUUGAUCCAGGCACUACUUAGAGACAAGUAUUUAUUGUGACACUCAGUUGCAUCUUGUUUAGCUGAUCCAGGAAGCUUGCUUUAUCAAAGAAGCAAGACCUUUCGAUGUUUAUGGAUGAAUUCCUCUUGGCAGCAUUGGUUCUUUAAUAUUCACCAAAAAGUGAACAGGCUUGGAGCCAUAGGUAGAUAUUUUAGAAAGCCUUCUGUACUGUUGUCUUAUGCUGAGUACCACCAGUGACAUGCAGAUGCAAUGUUGAUUAUGAGAACACCAAUGGCAUAGUACAUCAACGGAUAUUUGAGUUGGCUUAUAAAAUAGGAAAGAAUUUAUUCCUUCCAUUUGUAUCAGCACGACUCAAUUGAUUAGCUAAAACUUAAGCUAAAUUUGUUGACUUAUCUUCCAUUUUCUACCCAUCUUUCUAUAUAUAUUUUGCACAUCAACGUUAAUUUAAUAAGGUCCUGCUAUUGUUUUAUUCUCUUGUGUUGAAUUUUGACUUAGUAUUUGCUGGAAUUUGAAUUUUGAAUAUUGCAGCUGGAGUCUUGCACAAAAUCUGCAACAUCUAGAUAUUUUCUUAUUUUUAUUUGGUCAAGAUUUGGUUUCUAUUUUAUAGGAAGUAGUUGUUCAUCAUCUAUUAGCUUGAUUUUCUGCUAUUCUAAUGUCAUUUAAGUUACAAGUUCAUGUAUAAAUUCAGCAUUCUUCAUCAAUAAGAUCAGAGCUCCGGCAGCCCAAAAAUAUAUAUUCUGUAUAAGUAUUUAAUCUUAUACCAACAAAGUGGUAUCAGAGCCAUAGUUAUCUUGAGGGGCCAGUGAGGUGAGUGAACCCAAACACCUUCUAAAAUCAUUUAGCAAUGGAAGAGUCAAGUCUCACAGUUGCACCAUCAAUUCUUGAUGGAGACAAUUAUGAAACUUGGGCUGUUAGAAUGACAGUUCAUCUACAAGCACUUGAUGUUUGGGAAGCAGUGGAAGAAAAUUAUGAAGUUCCUCCCCUGGGAGCCAAUCCAACUGUGGCUCAAAUGAAGUUGCAUAAAGAAAGAAGGACAAGAAAGGCUAAAGCGAAAGCUUGCUUGUUUGCUGCAGUUUCACCAUCAAUUUUCAUCAAAAUCAUGAAAAUUGAUUCAGCUGCAGAAAUUUGGGAGUAUCUCAAGGAGGAAUACAAAGGAGAUGAAAGAAUCAAGAACAUGCAGGUGAUGAACUUGAUUCGAGAAUUUGAAAUGAAGAAAAUGAGGGAGUCUGAUGCUGUUAAAGACUAUGCUGCACAACUUCUUUCAAUAGCAGACAAAGUUAGGCUGCUUGGAAAAGAAUUUUCCAAUGAGAAGAUUGUUCAAAAGAUAUUGGUUACACUUCCUGAGAAAUAUGAAGCUACAAUUUCCUCUUUGGAGAAUUCAAAAGAUCUGUCAACUAUUAGCUUGACAGAAUUAUUACAUUCCUUGGAGGCUGUGGAACAAAGAAGACUCAUGAGACAAGGAGAUACUGCAGAAGGAGCAUUUCAAGCAAGAAUGCAGAAAAAUGCAGGCCAUAAAAAUGGAAAGGUGAACAACAACAAGUCGUGUGGCAACAACCAGAAAAAUGGAAUUUUUCCACCUUGUCCUCAUUGCAAGAAGACAAAUCAUUCUCCACAAAAAUGUUGGUGGAGACCAGAUGUGAAAUGCAACAAGUGUGGUAAACAAGGACAUGUGGAGAGGAUUUGCAAAAAUCAACAGCAGGAAGAAACUAAUGCAGUAGUUGACUAUUGUCAGGAGGAGCAAUUGUUUGCAGCAACGUGUUUUGCUAAUAAAAGCACCUCUAAAAGCUGGCUUGUGGAUAGUGGUUGUACAAACCACAUGACAAAUAAUCAAGAUCUCUUUAGAGAACUUGAUAGAACAACUAUUUCCAAAGUCAGAAUUGGAAAUGGUGAGUAUAUUCCAGUGAAGGGCAAAGGAACGGUUGCUAUCGAAAGCCAAACAGGUUUGAAACUCAUUUAUGAUGUUUUGUUUGUGCCUGACAUUGACCAAAACUUACUCAGUGUUGGACAGCUCAUUGAGAAAGAAUUUAAAGUUUAUUUUGAAGAUAGGAAUUGCAUUAUCAAGGAUGCUGAAGGCAAAGAGGUGUUCAACAUAAAAAUGAAGGGCAAGAGUUUUGCCUUGAAUUUACUGGAAGAUGAGCAUACUGCUAUUUUACAACAAGAUAGCACAACAAUGUUUUGGGACAGAAGGGUCGAGCACUUUCAUCAUGAUGAUGUGCUUUACAUGAAGAAAAAUCAAAUAGUUGAAGGACUUCCUGACUUAGAAAAAGAUCUUCCUAUAUGUGCUACUUGUCAAUAUGGGAAGCAAACUAAACUUCCCUUUCCAAAGAAAAUAUCCUGGAGAGCAACCCAAAAACUGCAACUGGUGCAUACUGAUGUUGGUGGAUCUCAAAAAAUGCCAUCCUUGAAAUGGAAUGCAAACAACGUUUGGUGGAUCUCAAAAAAUGCCAUCCUUGAAAUGGAAUGCAAACAAUUUUGGGCUAAAACUGCAAGAAGAGCAGUAUAUUUUCUGAACAUAUUGCCAACAAAAGUGUUAAAGAAGCAGACCCCUUUCGAAGUUUGGUUUGAGUGUCUAUGUGCAAGACUUGGAGUUUGCAUCUACGAAGUCAAGGAGGAGUGUUGAAUUUUGACUUAGUAUUUGCUGGAAUUUGAAUUUUGAAUAUUGCAGCUGGAGUCUUGCACAAAAUCUGCAACAUCUAGAUAUUUUCUUAUUUUUAUUUGGUCAAGAUUUGGUUUCUAUUUUAUAGGAAGUAGUUGUUCAUCAUCUAUUAGCUUGAUUUUCUGCUAUUCUAAUGUCAUUUAAGUUACAAGUUCAUGUAUAAAUUCAGCAUUCUUCAUCAAUAAGAUCAGAGCUCCGGCAGCCCAAAAAUAUAUAUUCUGUAUAAGUAUUUAAUCUUAUACCAACAUCUUGCACAAACUAUUCUUCAAAAUACUUUACAAUGGCAUAGAUAAACUUGUCAUUUGCUUAACAUUGUUCAAAGGGCUUGACAUUGCUCAACAUUAUUUGAGCUUUUCUCCUACAGAUGCUUCAAUGGCAUGGCAAUGCAACCAGCCUUCAGGCAAUGGCACCCACUUACAUACUCUGCAAGAGCCCACAAUGGAAAAAUAUUCCUAUAAUCUGCACAGUGUAACAUGCAGUUAUUCAUGAAGGCUCCAGUGAUUUCCUGCCAUAGAUAAUUGAUGAUCAAAUGGUUAGACUACCACCCAGUAUAUAUAGUCAGCUACGAAAGAACAUCAUUUUCCAUUUCCCAAAACCAUGUUAAAAUGUUAUUCCUUUUGUUUUUAAUUCAUGUUCAAGUGUGCUACCUGUUGGGGAAAAUCACCAUCUUCCAUUUGGGAAUUAAUCAACAACUUUGCAGCCCUGUGAAGAGGUGUUGGGUCUCUCUCAGCCUGUUAGAAAGGAAAGGUUAGACUCAGAUGUUUGGGGAGAAGCCAUAUUGUGAAAAUAAUGUAGAUGACCAAGUUAAGCUUAGUGAUGAUGAAACUGUAUAAAAUAACCUGCCCAGAAGAAAGCAGCCCCAUCAGAGCCCACCCAGUUUGUACCAGAUUUGACUUGUUUCCUUCAAGAGGUGUAUAUUUCUGUAUCACCAAGCACAAGGAUUACUUUUUUUUUGUCCAUGUUUCUAUCAGAAAACAGAGAGCAGUGGGUGGCAUGUAAAAAUUACCUUGUCCCGGCAAGAAAUAUAGCUCUCUCCCCAACCACCAUCAUCUCUUUGUGAUUUGAGUAGAAACUCAACAGCUCUACCAAUAGCAAGACAGUUGUGGUAAGUCUUGCCAGCAGCUGCUAGGCCUCCAAGUGCCCACCAUGAGCUAUAGAUGAAACAUACUCCCCACUUGCCAUACCUGGUGAAAUGCUUCUUUGUUUAAAUGGAUCUGCACUGCAUAUAUAAAAAAAUAAUUCCCCAGUGAAAUAGUAAUAGUGGAUUUGAGAAACAAACCAUGAGCCAUCAGGCAUUUGUUGGUCUUCAAUGUACUUGGUAGCAUUUGUGAUGAAAUUGUCUAUCUCCUCCGUCCUGUGUUCGGGGUAUAACUUCUUAAACAAAACUAGAGCCUGAAUUGCUGAUGCAGUGCACUCAACAUACCUGGAUCAUCGUUUUGUUAGUCUCCAAGGAAGUUAAAUCUAGUAGAGUUAGAAAAGAAGGUCUAUUAUCAAGAAUCUUACUCAUGCUCGAUGACAAGGUCUUCAAACAUUUCACUGGGGUUGAGCAGCUGAAAAGAGAAGGGAUUGGCAUUGAUUUAGAUUCAAAGGAUACAGAGAGAGAGAGAGAGAGAGAGAGAGAAAACGGAAACAUUGAAGUUAUUUAAACAUGUUGAAGUAAUUUACCUCCAACCAUUCUGAAGCUCCUGCAGGCUCCCAGCCUACUAUACCACCAUUUUCACUCUACAGUGGUUUCGAAAAGAGGGGUUAUUGCUACUAAGAAGUUAUGACUUGUUUUGUGAUGGGGGAAACCAUGCAAAUGGCCCAAGGAAGAUGGUUCUCACCUGUAGGGAAAGCAGGAUGUUGACAGAAUCAAAUAGCCGUCCAGGUUCGAUCUUCAUACCAACAAUUUCUGGUGCCAUCAUUGAAAAGAGGAGACAACACUGUAACAGAGAGGGGACUUUAGUGAGAAACCAAGUGACUUUAGUUAAUUUGCAAGCCCUGACUCAAUUGAAGUGUUUGAGCAGAAAGAGUUACCUUCAAACCUUCUGCAGUGCAAUCAGAAACUUGCCAACCAUGAUCCUUAUCUGAGAAUGUCCACGAUCCUUUGGAAAUGUGGCGGUACAUGCUUUUAAAGUCACCGGAAGGAUUGUCCUUGACCUUCAAGAUUUCAAGCAAUACGAAGUAAAUGGACCAUGAGAAACCAAAGUAGAUUCUGGUUAAAGUAAAGCCAUAAACAAUGGAAUUCAAGAUCAAACCUGAGAUUCCUUUAGGAAUUCAUGGCCUUUCUUUAGCGUAGGUCCAAUUUCAUUGGUCAUAUUGCAAGCUAGCAGUGCUUGAAGGGCAAGACUAGUGUCCCACUCUUGACUACCAAAGGUCUGCAACAAUCGACAAUUUCAAAACCAAUUAGGCAGGAAAGGGACAAAAGCAUAGCUUCAAACCAAUUGCGUACUUGAAAAAUUUUAAGAAAAAGAUGACUGGAUAUUAUCUAUUUUUUCUACAACUGUUUGGGAGAUUAGUGAUUGAACUUGUUUUCUGACCUGCAUCUUUAUUCCAUCUUCUCCAACCCAUAUAUAAUCUGGAAUCCUAGCAAGGUGCUUCUUGAAAUAAUCCCCGUUUGGAUCUUCAACCCAACAUGAAAGCAUACACAACACCUAUUCAAUUUAAGCCAUAUUAGCACCCCAAAGAAGAGAUAUACUGUCUGAAUAGACAUUAUCCAUUGCAGAAAAAUUACCUUCUCCACACAUCCAAUGGUAAUGUAUCGACUGUUUUCAUCUUCAUAAUGGAUGUGUUUCAUUGUUACUUCAAGAGCCUUCUUUCUCAACUUGUUGAAGGGCCAACGAGUAAGAAGAGGCUCGGUACAUAUGUACAAACUAUCCCACAUCAUAUCUUGUAUUAGGGGGUGGGGGUAGUAGAGAUCCUCCUGCAAUAAACAAUUUUGAAAGUGUGUUUCAUGCAUGCGUAGCAUAUUCAUCGGAAAAGGAAAAGUGUUCCAUACAAAAUCAAAACUUACUUUUGCACAAAGAUGCCGUACUUUCUUCCAGUUGAUUUCAUUAUAUGGUUGAAGGAAGAGCUCUUCUCUCAGUUCUAGAACAAGAGGCGUGAUUGGGCCAACGAAUCGUUUACCAUAUAGGUAUGACAUGGGCAUGAAAAUCAACCGACUGUAGCACCAAAUUUUUGCUGCAUUGAUCGUCUCAAAUUAUAAGAAGCUAGACCAAAGAUAGGAAAGUGUAAGCUAAACCAAAGUAGACAUGGGAAUGGCAUUUCUUAAGACUAAUAAACCAUCCCCAGGUUGAAUUUGUAAGUAUUCAUGCGUGAUUUUAUAUUUGUAUAAGGCUGAAGUUACACAACUUUGGGCUUAGCAUUUUGAGUCAGUGUGACCAAUUCCAAGUUUUAUGCAAGAUGGCCUUAGGAUGUAAAAUGCAUUAAGUGCAGAAGUAGAUGUUAAA
RNAcentral lists this long non-coding RNA (29005 nucleotides) under Vitis vinifera (wine grape). RNAcentral describes it as "long non-coding RNA (VVIN_LNC003050)". Lineage: Eukaryota; Viridiplantae; Streptophyta; Magnoliopsida; Vitales; Vitaceae. The record is from RNAcentral.